CGGGUUGAUUCGAUUCUGUUGAAUUCCAUUCCAUUCCAUUCCAUUCCAUUCCAUUCCAUUCCAUUCCAUUCCAUUCCACUCUGGUUGAUUCCAUUCCUUUUCAUUCCAUUCCAUUCCAUUCCAUUCGGGUAGAUUCCAUUCCAUUCCAUUCCAUUCCAUUCCAUUCCAUUCCAUUCCAUUCCAAUCCAUUCCAUUCCAAUCCAUUCCAUUCCAUCCCAUUCCAUUCCAUUCCAUUCCAUUCCAUUCCAUUCCAUUCCAUUCCAUAUCAUUCCACUCGGGUUGAUUCCAUUCCAUUCCAUUUCAUUCCAUUCCAUUCCGUUCUACUCAGGUUGAUUAAAUUCCAUUCCAUUCCAUUCCAUUCCAAUAAAUUCCAUUCAAUUCCAUUCCAUUCCACUCGUGUUGAUGCAAUUCCAUUCCAUUCCAUUCCAUUCCAUUCCAUUCCAUUCCUUUCCUUUAAAUUCCAUUCAGGUUGAUUCCAUUCCAUUCGAAUCCAUUCCAUUGCACUCCAUUCCAUUCCCUUUCGUUCCACUCAGGUUGAUUCCAUUCCAUUCCAUUCCAUUUCAUUCCAUUCCACUCGGGUUGUUUCCAUUCCAUUCCUUUCCCUUACAUUCCUUUAAGUUUCAUUCCAUUCCAUUCCAUUCCACUCGGGUUGAUUCCAUUCCCUUCUAUCCCAUUUCAUUCCAUUCCAUUCCAUGCCAUUCCAUUCCUUUCCAUUCCACUCGGUUUGAUUCUAUUCCAUUCCAUACCAUUCCAUUCCAUUCCAUUCCAUUCCAUUCCAUUCCAUUCCAUUCCAUUCCAUUGCAUUCCGUUCCGUUCCAUUCCACACGGGUUGAUUCCAUUCCAUUCCAUUCAAUUC
RNAcentral lists this long non-coding RNA (856 nucleotides) under Homo sapiens (human). Its description in RNAcentral is "HSALNT0304198". Lineage: Eukaryota; Metazoa; Chordata; Mammalia; Primates; Hominidae. The record is from RNAcentral.